Molecule: long non-coding RNA, 224 nt
Filed under: Musa acuminata (dwarf banana)
Lineage: Eukaryota; Viridiplantae; Streptophyta; Magnoliopsida; Zingiberales; Musaceae
Description: long non-coding RNA (MACU_LNC004060)
Source: RNAcentral
AUUCAUUUCCCAUAAGAAUUGGUGUUUCGGGGUGUUCUAUUGGUUGAGGAAUUGGAUCCGUCCUUCUAGGCUGCCUAACCCAUAUGCCAAUGCUAAAAGUGCACCUAAGUCUUUUCAGUAGGUUUUUAUUUAUUAUGUUAUAUCGAUCAUUUUGAAUAGAUUCUUCAUCGGGUGGAAUGCAAAUGUUAUAGGCAUGAAGAAAUCUAGUGAUUAACCUCCCAUAU